Molecule: ribosomal RNA, 304 nt
Filed under: Monotomidae sp. JAR-2007
Lineage: Eukaryota; Metazoa; Arthropoda; Insecta; Coleoptera; Monotomidae
Description: eukaryotic LSU rRNA
Rfam family: Eukaryotic large subunit ribosomal RNA
Source: RNAcentral
AGGAUUCCUUUAGUAGCGGCGAGCGAAUAAGGAAAAGCCCAGCACCGAAUUCCGCGUCAGUGAAUGGACGCUGGAAAAUGUGGUGUUCGGGAGGAUUCGUUAUUCCGAAAUUGUACGGUGCGUCCAAGUCCUUCUUGAAUGGGGCCAUAGCCCAUAGAGGGUGCCAGGCCCGUAGUGACCGGUGUCAAUUGCGGAAGAAUCUCUCCUUAGAGUCGGGUUGCUUGAGAGUGCAGCCCUAAGUGGGUGGUAAACUUCAUCUAAGGCUAAAUAUAACCACGAGACCGAUAGCGAACAAGUACCGUGA